CGCAUCUGUGCAUGCAGCAUAUCAAUAAGCGGAGGAAAAGAAACUAACAAGGAUUCCCUUAGUAACGGCGAGUGAAGCGGGAAGAGCUCAAAUUUGAAAUCUUCAAGGUUUUACCUUGACGAAUUGUAGUUUAAAGAAGUGUUUUCUGUUGAAGUUUUGGUAAAAGUUCUUUGGAAUAGGACAUCAUAGAGGGUGAGAAUCCCGUAUUUGACCAUUAUUUUCAGCUGUGUGAUACACUUUCAAAGAGUCGGAUUGUUUGGGAAUGCAGUCCAAAAUGGGUGGUAAAUUUCAUCUAAAGCUAAAUAUUGGCGAGAGACCGAUAGCGAACAAGUACCGUGAGGGAAAGAUGAAAAGAACUUUGAAAAGAGAGUUAAACAGUACGUGAAAUUGUCAAAAGGGAAGCGUUUGACACCAGUGUUGUUUUCUCGAAAAUCAAUUAAAAAGAGUUAGAUUUUGUUGUGUAUUGACCUUAACAGCUUGCAUUUCAAUUUUCUUGCUUUUUUUAAUGCACUUUUCGUUUAACAAGUCAACAUCAGUUUCUUUUGUUGUAAAAAGGUCAUUGGAAGGUGGCUUUCUUUUCGGAGAAAGUGUUUAUAGCCUUUGACUCCUGCAAUCGGAGAGACUGAGGUCUGCAGCGUAGAUCCUUCGGGGUUAGAUACAUUUGUGCUAAGUUAUAGCUUUUUAUAGACAACUUGUUGACUAUGAUUAGUCUUGUAGCUUACUCGCUUAUGCUAUUUUACCUACGCUUAGGAUGUUGACGCGCGUGUGUGCGUGGGUCUAUACAUGACUCUGUGCAUAUCAAUAAGCGGAGGAAAAGCAUAACAUGUAUACCUACGCUUAGGAUGUUGAAUCUGUGCGAGACUAC
RNAcentral lists this ribosomal RNA (865 nucleotides) under uncultured Neocallimastigales. Its description in RNAcentral is "partial large subunit ribosomal RNA". It matches the Rfam family "Eukaryotic large subunit ribosomal RNA", at positions 26 to 648 of the family's 3401-position model. Lineage: Eukaryota; Fungi; Neocallimastigomycota; Neocallimastigomycetes; Neocallimastigales. The record is from RNAcentral.